CCUACGGGAGGCAGCAGUAGGGAAUCUUUCACAAUGGGCGAAAGCCUGAUGGAGCAACGCCGCGUGCAGGAUGAAGGCCUUCGGGUUGUAAACUGCUUUUAUAAGCGAGAAAUAUGAUGGUAACUUAUGAAUAACGAUCGGCUAACUACGUGCCAGCAGCCGCGGUCAUACGUAGGAUCCGAGGAUUAUACGGAGUGACUGGGUGUAAAGAGUUGCGUAGGUGGCAUAAUAAGUAGCUAGUGAAAGCUGGUGGCUCAACCAUUCAGACUAUUAGCUAAACUGUUAAGCUCGAGACCGUUAGGGGUAACUGGAAGUUCUAGUGUAGGAGUGAAAUCCGUAGAGAUUAGAAGGAACACCAAUAGCGUAGGCAGGUUGCUGGGACGGUUCUGACACUAAGGCACGAAAGCGUAGGGAGCAAACGGGAUUAGAUACCCUAGUAGUC
RNAcentral lists this ribosomal RNA (442 nucleotides) under uncultured bacterium. RNAcentral's name for it is "partial 16S ribosomal RNA". It matches the Rfam family "Bacterial small subunit ribosomal RNA", at positions 338 to 795 of the family's 1533-position model. The record is from RNAcentral.